CGAGAGACCGAUAGCGAA
RNAcentral lists this small nuclear RNA (18 nucleotides) under Arabidopsis thaliana (thale cress). RNAcentral's name for it is "snRNA_09938". The record is from RNAcentral. Lineage: Eukaryota; Viridiplantae; Streptophyta; Magnoliopsida; Brassicales; Brassicaceae.